AAAAUGACUCUCGGCAACGGAUAUCUCGGCUCUCGCAUCGAUGAAGAACGUAGCAAACUGCGAUACUUGGUGUGAAUUGCAGAAUCCCGUGAACCAUCGAGUCUUUGAACGCAAGUUGCGCCUGAAGCCACUAGGUCGAGGGCACGUCUGCCUGGGCGUCACGC
This 164-nucleotide ribosomal RNA is filed under the name Strychnos lanata. Its description in RNAcentral is "5.8S ribosomal RNA". It matches the Rfam family "5.8S ribosomal RNA". Rfam says of the family: 5.8S ribosomal RNA (5.8S rRNA) is a component of the large subunit of the eukaryotic ribosome. Lineage: Eukaryota; Viridiplantae; Streptophyta; Magnoliopsida; Gentianales; Loganiaceae. The record is from RNAcentral.